This 253-nucleotide ribosomal RNA is filed under the name uncultured bacterium. RNAcentral describes it as "partial 16S ribosomal RNA". It matches the Rfam family "Bacterial small subunit ribosomal RNA", at positions 524 to 776 of the family's 1533-position model. The record is from RNAcentral.
UACGUAGGAGACGAGCGUUGUCCGGAGUUACUGGGCGUAAAGGGCGCGUAGGCGGCUCUGCACGUUCGUUGUGAAAUCGCCCGGCUCAACUGGGCGGGGUCAGCGGAUACGGCAGAGCUUGAGCAAGCUAGGGGGCAAUGGAAUUCCCGGUGUAGUGGUGGAAUGCGUAGAUAUCGGGAGGAACACCAGUGGCGAAGGCGGUUGCCUGGGGCUUUGCUGACGCUGAUGCGCGAAAGCGUGGGGAGCGAUCCGG